CAGAGAGCCUCGUGGGCCCUCGCGUCUGUCCGCUUGGAACAGCUCAGGAAUCGCGGAAGCUGUGAUCUUCGCCAGGUGACACAGGCUCCUUAAUCCGCGGGGCGACCUGACGACGACCUGGGGCAGGUUCUUCCCUUUGGAGAUUAUUCUCAUCCCUUAUGGCCUCGGGCUUGCUCAGGAGCCCUGGCAAUCCAGUGGCGAUUCCAGGUGUGCGUUCUUUUUUGAGGACUUGCUGUAAAUGUUCUCCACGGAGGCCGCAGUUUUUUUCCUUUUCAGAUACUGGGGAUGAAUACAAGCGGGCCCUCAGCUACAUCCCAGCCCUUUAUUUUUUACUUAUAUGGUUUGGUUUGGUUUUGUUUUGUUUUGCGAUAAGGUCUCUCUGUGCAGCCCAGACUGGCGUUGUACUCUCAGUGAUCGUCCUGCCUCAGCCUCCCAAGUGCUGGGAUGACAGGCGUGCAUCAUCACACCCAGCUGUGUCCAGGUUUCUGAUGGCGCAAAUCUCCAGGGUCUUGCUAAGUUGCUAAAUUACCCAGGCUCGGCUCAGAAUGGCAAUCUCCUGCCUCAGCCUCCCAGAGAGCUGGGAUUACAGUCUCACUAUGUAGCCCAGGCUGGCCUCGAACUUGAAGCAGUCUUCCUGCCCUGGUCUCCUAUGUGCUGGGAUUAUCUGUAUGUGCCACCACGACCGACUCAACAACCCCCCCUUAUUUAUUUAUUUUUUGAGACCACUGAGAUAGUCUUGCUAAGUCUUCAAGUUGGCCAGGCUGUGCUCAAGCUUGCAGUCCUCCUGCCUCAGCCUCCCAGAGUACUGGGGUUACAGGCGUGGGCCACCAGGCUCCACUUCAGAUUAGGUUUCUGAUUUGUCAGCCCCUACUAUCACGAAUUCCUUAAUAUCCACCCAUCCAUCCAUCCAUCCAUCUCCUGCUGAUUCACUUUCUCCGAAGAAACUUCACACCUUCUGGGAGUCAGUAAGGCUGCCGUUCUUCAGU
RNAcentral lists this long non-coding RNA (986 nucleotides) under Heterocephalus glaber (naked mole-rat). RNAcentral describes it as "lncRNA (ENSHGLG00000032645.1)". Lineage: Eukaryota; Metazoa; Chordata; Mammalia; Rodentia; Bathyergidae. The record is from RNAcentral.